CGGGGCGUGGCCCAGCUUGGCUAGGGCGCUACAAUGGGGUUGUAGAGGCCGACGGUUCAAAUCCGUCCGCCCCGA
RNAcentral lists this transfer RNA (75 nucleotides) under Anaerolineae bacterium. RNAcentral describes it as "tRNA-Pro". It matches the Rfam family "tRNA". Rfam says of the family: Transfer RNA (tRNA) molecules are approximately 80 nucleotides in length. Their secondary structure includes four short double-helical elements and three loops (D, anti-codon, and T loops). Lineage: Bacteria; Bacillati; Chloroflexota; Anaerolineae. The record is from RNAcentral.